CACAAAUGGGCGGCCAUUGGAUGUGGGACACGCCAAGAACUGGCAGCCAUUGGAGAUUUGGACAACCCAAGAUGGCGGCUAUUGGUGACACAAGAUGGCGGCCAUUGGGUUUGGACACCCAAGAUGGCGGCCAUUGGUGACACAAGAUGGCGGCCAUUGGCUUUGGACACCCAAGAUGGCGGCCAUUGGAUUUGGACACCCAAGAUGGCGGCUAUUGGUGACACAAGAUGGCGGCCAUUGAACAUGGACACUCAAGAUGGCGGCAUUGAAAAUUGGAAUAUUAGCUUUGGGGACAACAAGAUGGCGGCCAUUGGUGACACAAGAUGGCGGCCAUUGGCUUUGGACACCCAAGAUGGCGGCCAUUGCCAUUGGAUAUUGGCUUUGGUGACACAAGAUGGCGGCCAUUGGCUUUGGACACCCAAGAUGGCGGCCAUUGGUGACACAAGAUGGCAGCCAUUGGCUUUGGACACUGAAGAUGGCGGCCAAUGGACCCAUCAGAAAGCCAAUAUGGUCAUAAAUUGGACCCAAUCGAGAAACCAAUUGGACCCAUCAGAACCCUUGGGACCCAUCAGAACCCAUUGGGACCCAUCAAACCAAAUUGGACCAUCAGAACCAUUGGACCCAUCAGAACCGAAUUGGGACCAUCAGAACGCCAUUGGACCAUCAGAACCAAUUGGACCCAUAUCAAAGCAACCAAUUGCGGUCAGCAAUGGACCCAGUCAGCCCCAUUGGACCCAUCAGAACCAAUUGGACCCAUCAGAACCAAUUGGGACCCAUCAGAACCCAUUGGACCCAUCAGAACCAAUUGGGACCCAUCAGAACCCAUUGGGCCCAUCAGAACCCAUUGGACCCAUCAGAACCAAUAUUGGGUCAGCAUUGGACCCAUCAGAACCCAUUGGACCCAUCAGAACCCAUUGGGACCCAUCAGAACCCAUUGGGACCCAUCAGAACCAAUUGGGACCCAUCAGAACCCUCUGGGACCCAUUCAGAACCACUAUUGGGUCCAGUAAUUGGACCCAUCAGAACCAUUGACC
Molecule: long non-coding RNA, 1034 nt
Filed under: Coturnix japonica (Japanese quail)
Lineage: Eukaryota; Metazoa; Chordata; Aves; Galliformes; Phasianidae
Description: lncRNA (ENSCJPG00005000236.1)
Source: RNAcentral